Molecule: non-coding RNA, 1110 nt
Organism: Monodelphis domestica (gray short-tailed opossum)
Lineage: Eukaryota; Metazoa; Chordata; Mammalia; Didelphimorphia; Didelphidae
Source: RefSeq, a predicted model, not a curated record
GAAAUGGCAAAUCAUUCCAGGAUUUUUGCACCCAAAAAAUCCCCAAAUGGGACCAUAAAGAGUUGAACAGGACUGAAAAACAACUAAACAACAAUAAGAGAUAGAUAAUAUGACAGAACUAUUAAGGAAAUCAAAUAACUUGAAGGUUUACUCUUGUCACUUUAUAGUAUCAUAACAUCAAAGACAAAGAUGAAAGAGAUUCUCAGAAAUCAUUUGGUCCAACCUUCUCAUUUUGCAGCUGAAGAAACUUAGGACAAGAGAGUUUAGGUGGUUUGCUCAAUCACACAUGUGAUUAGUAUCAAAGCCAGGAUUCAAACCCAGCUUCCCUGAUUGCCAACCUGAUAUUCUUUUCCCCCUGAACUUUAAUAAAUGAUGGAAUUACAGAAUACCAGAGCUGGGAGGGUCAUGAGCACUCACCUAGUUCAACUCUUCUCUUUUACAAAGGCAGGGAAAGAUGAAUGGACUCAUCUAUAUGUAAUAAGGAGCAGUGACAGCAGAGACAUGAAAUGGAAACUUUGCAGUGUUUUGUUCUUGGAAGGAAUAAAAUAUUUUGGAAAGUGAAGGAGAAGUAGUAGAGAGGAAAAAUACUAGACCUGGGUUUGAAUUCUGCCUUCAAUACUUCAUAGUUGUGUGAUCCCAGUAAAAUGAUCUGGAGAAGGAAAUGGCAAACCACUACAGUAUCUGUGUCAAGAAAACCCUGAAUGGAACCACAAAGAAUCCAACACUACUUAAAAAUAACUAAACAACAACAAAUAUCAAGGUGCCAUGCAUCAAUUUCCCAAUAUGACCUUUUGGACUUUUUGAGACAGAAUGAUGAUUUUUAAAAAUUGUUGUCCUAGAAAACUCCCUCUGUUAGAGUUUACUAAGUUUAUGCUGAUGGUCUGGACCAUUUUGGCUUACAACAAAAUAGAGGUGAAUUAAUUGUAUGUGAUAUUAGGGAGGAGGUGUGGCCAAAUGAAAGGCAGGGAAAGAGCAUUUGCCAAAAAAUUACUAUUGACAAUCAACAAAUACAAACACUUCAAUAUAGAAUGAAAAAAAAGGGCAUAAUAUGAAAUUGCGAUCUCCUGUUAGACAGUUUGUUUUUAAGUGCAUAUUAAAUGUAACAAGAUA